GGCAUUUAAGCCCUGAACAUCGCCUGACAGGCAGCCAUGUAUCCCAGGCUGCGUACAGCCCCAAGACCAGAGUCAAUCGCAUGCAACGAACAACGAGCCAUCGAGCCACAUUCAAACAGAGCCAGAAAGCUGAAGCCUUGGGGAUGGAUCGAAAUGUACACAAUGGGUACCUGGAGGAAAAUGGGCUAAUAGAGAGCAUACUGAAGGAAAAGCCUGGUGGAGAGGUUGUCAUCAAGGAGUGCUACAAAACUAAAAGCCUGAUUGACUGCACCAGACGAAAGAUGAUCAAUAUUCUUGUUUCGGCGAUGACAGACUCUCACGGGAACAAUAUUACGACCCUAAUAUUAAAGGGUACCUCUCGUAUAGAAUGAAAACCGUUCAGAGGUAUUUGGCUUCAUCUGAGAAACGGCCCACUCAACUAUACUAUGGAGGGCCAGCUGCUGAGAGGGAGUCCAGUUCAUCCACUUUGGCUACCCUGAGUGAAGACCGGUGCAGAGAUGCCAUUCCUCUUAUGAAGCAUUGUUCUGAUGAAGAAACAGUCAAACAGAAGAUGAGAUUGACCUUUGAGUACAGGAAGAAGAUGACCCGAGUAAAUGCUCCACCAUCCUAACCGAAUUUCCACGCUUUCUGGAUGUGAAGGGCUUGAUUGAACAGUGUUUUGUGCUGCUGUUUGGAGAGGGAACAUCAAGUUUUUGGAGAGGUGACCAACUAUAUUCAAGCAAAAGAUCAUCAUGAUAAGCAAGGCCACUCAGGGAGCUGAACUUCAGGAGCUGAUCCAGAUGGCAGAUUCUGCAGUUAAUGAGGGAGCUGACAUGAAUGCUGACGGUUAGAUUAUCAUAAUUUAUCAUUUAUAUUUCAAAUAACUCUGAAAUGUUAAUGUCACUGAUGGAAUUGACCAUUUUAAAUCAGGAUCUUUUCUUUGUUUAGGAUCAAAUCAAAAUCAAAUCAAAUUUUAUUUGUCACAUACACAUGGUUAGCAGAUG
This is a long non-coding RNA of Oncorhynchus tshawytscha (Chinook salmon), 983 nucleotides long. RefSeq lists it as uncharacterized. The transcript is spliced from 4 exons. Lineage: Eukaryota; Metazoa; Chordata; Actinopteri; Salmoniformes; Salmonidae. The record is from RefSeq and is a predicted model, not a curated record.